GACGAACGCUGGCGGCGUGCUUAACACAUGCAAGUCGAACGGAAAGGCCCUGCUUUUGUGGGGUGCUCGAGUGGCGAACGGGUGUGUAACACGCGAGUAACCUGCCCUUGACUUUGGGAUAACUUCUGGAAACUGGGGCUAAUACCGGAUAGGAGCUCCUGAUGCACGGUGGGGGUUGGAAAGUUUCGGCGGUUGGGGCUGGACUCGCGGCUUAUCAGCUUGUUGGUGGGGUAGUGGCUUACCAAGGCUUUGACGGGUAGCCGGCCUGAGAGGGUGACCGGCCACAUUGGGACUGAGAUACGGACCAGACUCCUACGGGAGGCAGCAGUGGGGAAUAUUGCACAAUGGGCGGAAGCCUGAUGCAGCAACGCCGCGUGCGGGAUGACGGCCUUCGGGUUGUAAACCGCUUUCGCCUGUGACGAAGCGUGAGUGACGGUAAUGGGUAAAGAAGCACCGGCUAACUACGUG
This 468-nucleotide ribosomal RNA is filed under the name uncultured bacterium. Its description in RNAcentral is "partial 16S ribosomal RNA". It matches the Rfam family "Bacterial small subunit ribosomal RNA", at positions 28 to 507 of the family's 1533-position model. The record is from RNAcentral.